RNAcentral lists this ribosomal RNA (245 nucleotides) under uncultured bacterium. RNAcentral describes it as "partial 16S ribosomal RNA". It matches the Rfam family "Bacterial small subunit ribosomal RNA", at positions 30 to 275 of the family's 1533-position model. The record is from RNAcentral.
AUUGAACGCUAGCGGGAUGCUUUACACAUGCAAGUCGAACGGCAGCGCAGACUUCGGUCUGGCGGCGAGUGGCGAACGGGUGAGUAAUGUAUCGGAACGUGCCCAGUAGCGGGGGAUAACUACGCGAAAGCGUGGCUAAUACCGCAUACGCCCUACGGGGAAAGGGGGGGAGUCUUCGGACCUCUCACUAUCGGAGCGGCCGAUAUCGGAUUAGCUAGUUGGUGGGGUAAAGGCCUACCAAGGCG